GCCUGGGUGGCUCAGUGGUUGAGCAUCUGCCUUUGGCUCAGGACAUGAACCCGGGGUCCUGGGAUCAAGUCCCAUUCAGGUU
RNAcentral lists this transfer RNA (82 nucleotides) under Canis lupus familiaris (dog). It matches the Rfam family "tRNA". Rfam says of the family: Transfer RNA (tRNA) molecules are approximately 80 nucleotides in length. Their secondary structure includes four short double-helical elements and three loops (D, anti-codon, and T loops). Further hydrogen bonds mediate the characteristic L-shaped molecular structure. tRNAs have two regions of fundamental functional importance: the anti-codon, which is responsible for specific mRNA codon recognition, and the 3' end, to which the tRNAs corresponding amino acid is attached (by aminoacyl-tRNA synthetases). tRNAs cope with the degeneracy of the genetic code in two manners: having more than one tRNA (with a specific anti-codon) for a particular amino acid; and 'wobble' base-pairing, i.e. permitting non-standard base-pairing at the 3rd anti-codon position. The record is from Rfam by way of RNAcentral. Lineage: Eukaryota; Metazoa; Chordata; Mammalia; Carnivora; Canidae. RNAcentral also lists the same sequence under 2 other names.